UGGGGAAUCUUCCGCAAUGGACGAAAGUCUGACGGAGCAACGCCGCGUGUAUGAUGAAGGUCUUCGGAUUGUAAGGUACUGUCAUUGGGGAAGAACGGUUUUCUUGAAAAGAUUGAGAAGACAUGACGGUACCCAAGGAGGAAGCCCCGGCUAACUACGUGCCAGCAGCCGCGGUAAUACGUAGGGGGCAAGCGUUGUCCGGAAUUAUUGGGCGUAAAGGGCGCGUAGGCGGGCCUUUAAGUCCGGUGUGAAAGAUCAGGGCUCAACCCUGAGGGUGCAUCGGAAACUGGAGGCCUUGAGGACAGGAGAGGAAAGUGGAAUUCCACGUGUAGCGGUGAAAUGCGUAGAUAUGUGGAGGAACACCAGUGGCGAAGGCGACUUUCUGGACUGUAACUGACGCUGAGGCGCGAAAGCGUGGGGAGCAAACA
This 428-nucleotide ribosomal RNA is filed under the name uncultured bacterium. RNAcentral describes it as "bacterial SSU rRNA". It matches the Rfam family "Bacterial small subunit ribosomal RNA", at positions 355 to 774 of the family's 1533-position model. The record is from RNAcentral.